CACUUGGUUCACUUAACCGCUCCUGAAGACUUCAGAACCGGCAUCAAUCUUUGGUCAGAUAAUCUCAUUAUUUUUUCCUGUCAAGUAAUUGUAUACUAUUACUAAUGGUUAAUCAACUAAAGAUUGAACUGAGGGAUUAAUGGAGCAAACUUCAGAUGAAGUUACUCCUCCAAAAAUUGGUGUAUGCCGUUUAGCGUGGAGAACACACGGUAUUCUUUAGUAAAAGGCGAAAGAAUAGUUCGCUUUGUAUUCACCACACGGCUCCAU
This 267-nucleotide small RNA is filed under the name Arabidopsis thaliana (thale cress). Its description in RNAcentral is "ATSL076050". Lineage: Eukaryota; Viridiplantae; Streptophyta; Magnoliopsida; Brassicales; Brassicaceae. The record is from RNAcentral.